Molecule: ribosomal RNA, 498 nt
Filed under: uncultured bacterium
Lineage: Bacteria
Description: partial 16S ribosomal RNA
Rfam family: Bacterial small subunit ribosomal RNA
Source: RNAcentral
AUUGAACGCUGGCGGCAUGCCUUACACAUGCAAGUCGAACGGUAACGCGGGGCAACCUGGCGACGAGUGGCGAACGGGUGAGUAAUGUAUCGGAACGUGCCCAGUUGUGGGGGAUAACUGCUCGAAAGAGCAGCUAAUACCGCAUACGACCUGAGGGUGAAAGCGGGGGAUCGCAAGACCUCGCGCAAUUGGAGCGGCCGAUUUCAGAUUAGGUAGUUGGUGGGGUAAAGGCCUACCAAGCCUACGAUCUGUAGCUGGUCUGAGAGGACGACCGGCCACACUGGGACUGAGACACGGCCCAGACUCCUACGGGAGGCAUCAGUGGGGAAUUUUGGACAAUGGGGGAAACCCUGAUCCAGCCAUGCCGCGUGCGGGAAGAAGGCCUUCGGGUUGUAAACCGCUUUUGUCAGGGAAGAAAUCCUUUGAACUAAUACUUCGGAGGGAUGACGGUACCUGAAGAAUAAGCACCGGCUAACUACGUGCCAGCCGCCGCUGUAA